This is a non-coding RNA of Canis lupus familiaris (dog), 89 nucleotides long. The record is from Rfam. Lineage: Eukaryota; Metazoa; Chordata; Mammalia; Carnivora; Canidae.
CGGGGGAGGCGGGAUCCUGGGCUGUGUCCCGGCGCCCUGUGCUCCGGGGCCUGCGCUGUUGGAUUCGCCCUCCCGCCCCGCAGCCCCCU